Molecule: ribosomal RNA, 252 nt
Filed under: uncultured bacterium
Lineage: Bacteria
Description: partial 16S ribosomal RNA
Rfam family: Bacterial small subunit ribosomal RNA
Source: RNAcentral
UACGUAGGGGGCAAGCGUUGUCCGGAAUUAUUGGGCGUAAAGCGCGCGCAGGCGGUUUUUUAAGUCCGAUGUAUAAGCCCGGGGCUCAACCCCGGGAGGCAUGGGAAACUGGGAGGCUUGAGUACAGAAGAGGAGAGUGGAAUUCCACGUGUAGCGGUGAAAUGCGUAGAUAUGUGGAGGAACACCAGUGGCGAAGGCGACUCUCUGGUCUGUAACUGACGCUGAGGCGCGAAAGCGUGGGGAGCAAACAGG